Molecule: ribosomal RNA, 257 nt
Filed under: uncultured bacterium
Lineage: Bacteria
Description: partial 16S ribosomal RNA
Rfam family: Bacterial small subunit ribosomal RNA
Source: RNAcentral
UACGUAGGUGGCAAGCGUUGUCCGGAUUUACUGGGCGUAAAGGAUGCGUAGGCGGACAUUUAAGUCAGAUGUGAAAUACCCCGAGCUUAACUUGGGUGCUGCAUUUGAAACUGGGUGUCUAGAGUGCAGGAGAGGUAAGUGGAAUUCCUAGUGUAGCGGUGAAAUGCGUAGAGAUUAGGAAGAACACCAGUGGCGAAGGCGACUUACUGGACUGUAACUGACGCUGAGGCAUGAAAGCGUGGGGAGCAAACAGGAUA